CCCACUCGACGUAUACUCGACUCAAUGUCUGUAUUAUGGCAACUUACAUUGCCAUAAUACAGACCAGGACCGCCAGGCUCAUUACAAGCCCAGCGGUCCUGUUGGGGGCCGGCAGGAAGCGUUUACUUACCUUUCCUGCAGCUCAUGUCAGCUCCAUUCUCCUCCACUCCGUUCAGCUCCACUGUAAGUCUUGCGUGAGCCGCGGCCGUCAGAGCUUUGCCACGGGUUACCGUGGCAACGCUCCACGCGGCACGCAGACCAUGAGACUUACACUGGAGCUGGAUGGAGCGGAGGAGAAGGUAGCUGACAGGAGCUGCAGGAAAGGUAAGUAACAGCCCGCUGCCAUCCCCCCUCCUGCACAGUACACACCGCUGGACCACCAGGGACUGCGAUAUCCCCACUCCCUGGCCAUGUAUCAAGCAGGGAGGGGGGACAAAAAAUAUAAAAUACAAAUGUAAAUAAUA
Pelobates cultripes (western spadefoot toad) is the source of this 464-nucleotide non-coding RNA. The record is from the annotation of a GenBank genome assembly. NCBI's taxonomy places the organism in Eukaryota, Metazoa, Chordata, Amphibia, Anura, Pelobatidae.